Arvicola amphibius (Eurasian water vole) is the source of this 102-nucleotide small nuclear RNA. Lineage: Eukaryota; Metazoa; Chordata; Mammalia; Rodentia; Cricetidae. The record is from RefSeq and is a predicted model, not a curated record.
CUGCUUCAGUAGCUCAUAUACUAAGAAUACAAUGACAAAGAGGGGAUCAGAAUGGCCCCUACACAAGGAUGCAUGCAAAUUUGCAAAGCAUUCCAUAGUUUU